RNAcentral lists this ribosomal RNA (471 nucleotides) under Ditylum brightwellii. Its description in RNAcentral is "partial Bacterial small subunit ribosomal RNA". It matches the Rfam family "Bacterial small subunit ribosomal RNA", at positions 95 to 560 of the family's 1533-position model. The record is from RNAcentral. Lineage: Eukaryota; Bacillariophyta; Thalassiosirophyceae; Lithodesmiales; Lithodesmiaceae.
GUGGCGAACGGGUGAGUAACACGUGAGUAACCUGCCCUUAACUCUGGGAUAAGCCUGGGAAACUGGGUCUAAUACCGGAUAGGAGCGUCCACCGCAUGGUGGGUGUUGGAAAGAUUUAUCGGUUUUGGAUGGACUCGCGGCCUAUCAGCUUGUUGGUGAGGUAAUGGCUCACCAAGGCGACGACGGGUAGCCGGCCUGAGAGGGUGACCGGCCACACUGGGACUGAGACACGGCCCAGACUCCUACGGGAGGCAGCAGUGGGGAAUAUUGGACAAUGGGGGCAACCCUGAUCCAGCCAUGCCGCGUGUGUGAAGAAGGCCUUUUGGUUGUAAAGCACUUUAAGCAGGGAGGAGAGGCUAAUGGUUAAUACCCAUUAGAUUAGACGUUACCUGCAGAAUAAGCACCGGCUAACUCUGUGCCAGCAGCCGCGGUAAUACAGAGGGUGCGAGCGUUAAUCGGAAUUACUGGGCG